Molecule: ribosomal RNA, 253 nt
Filed under: uncultured bacterium
Lineage: Bacteria
Description: partial 16S ribosomal RNA
Rfam family: Bacterial small subunit ribosomal RNA
Source: RNAcentral
UACGGAGGGUGCAAGCGUUAUCCGGAUUCACUGGGUUUAAAGGGUGCGUAGGCGGAUUGGUAAGUCCGUGGUGAAAUCUCCGAGCUUAACUUGGAAACUGCCAUGGAUACUAUUAGUCUUGAAUAUUGUGGAGGUUAGUGGAAUAUGUCAUGUAGCGGUGAAAUGCAUAGAUAUGACAUAGAACACCAAUUGCGAAGGCAGCUGGCUACACAAAUAUUGACGCUGAUGCACGAAAGCGUGGGGAUCAAACAGG